CCUAGGGGAGGCAGCAGUGAGGAAUAUUGGUCAAUGGCCGGAAGGCUGAACCAGCCAAGCCGCGUGAAGGACGACGGUGCCAAGCAUUGUAAACUUCUUUUGUCAAGGGACAAAAUCAGUCCCGAGAGCCUGUCCGGGGGUACUUGAAGAAAAAGCAUCGGCUAACUCCGUGCCAGCAGCCGGGGUUUUACGGAGGAUGCGAGCGUUAUCCGGAUUUAUUGGGUUUAAAGGGUAGGUAGGCGGACUGUUAAGUCAGCGGUAAAAGCCCGGGGCCCCACCCCGGCGAGCCGUUGAAACUGGCUGUCUUGAGAUGUCGAGAGGUAUGCGGAAUGCGCAGUGUAGCGGUGAAAUGCUUAGAUAUUGCGCAGAACCCCGAUUGCGAAGGCAGCAUACCGGCGGCGAUCUGACGCUGAGGCACGAAAGCGUGGGUAUCGAACAGGAUUAGAUACCCUGGUAGUC
This 459-nucleotide ribosomal RNA is filed under the name uncultured bacterium. RNAcentral describes it as "partial 16S ribosomal RNA". It matches the Rfam family "Bacterial small subunit ribosomal RNA", at positions 338 to 795 of the family's 1533-position model. The record is from RNAcentral.